GCCAGGCACAGCAGCACAUGCCUGUAGUCCCAGCUACUCGGGAGGCUGAGCAGGAGGAUCGUUUGAGGCCAGGAGCUCUGGACUGCAGUGUCCUAUGCCAGUUGGGUGCUGGCACUAAGCUCUGCAUCAAUAUGGUGACCCAAAGAGGGGUGAACCGGCCCAGGUUGGAAACAGAGCAGGUAAAAACUCCUGUGCUAAUCAGUAUUGGGGUCAUGCCUAUGAGUAGCCAUUGCACUCCCGCCUGGGCAACAUAGCAAGACCCUGUUUCA
Aotus nancymaae (Ma's night monkey) is the source of this 269-nucleotide unclassified non-coding RNA. It matches the Rfam family "Metazoan signal recognition particle RNA". Rfam says of the family: The signal recognition particle (SRP) is a universally conserved ribonucleoprotein. It is involved in the co-translational targeting of proteins to membranes. The eukaryotic SRP consists of a 300-nucleotide 7S RNA and six proteins: SRPs 72, 68, 54, 19, 14, and 9. Lineage: Eukaryota; Metazoa; Chordata; Mammalia; Primates; Aotidae. The record is from Ensembl.